CAUUAAUCCAUUAUGGAAGUGGUUUUGACUGCUGGAUAAGUUGCUGGAAAAUAAGGACACUAUCACAGAAUGUUUAAGGGCACCUUACUACCUCCAAAUUGAGUUGGUAGGACAAUAUCUCAAAAUGUCAGAGGUAUCCAAACAACAACCAGCUGAAGUAAUCACCUCUUGUCUGAUGGAGACUUGUUGGCACAGAUAACCUCUCUACAUGCAGAAUAUUUCAAUAAAUUGUAUGGAAUCCAGUACAGAUCUACUGGCAUUUCUGGUUCUGUUAAAAACACGUGAGUUUAUCUUUCACAUGGUAUUAGAAAAAGCUUUGUAUUUUUUCCAUUCAAACUCAGUUAAUACAUUUUUCCCCAGAUUUUUUUUUUGUACAUAAAAGCAUUCUGAAGUACACAUUAUUUCCCAAUAAACCAAUCAAGGUCAGGUAGAUUCUUGAGAAGACGAAAUGGUUCCUGGUUUUGGCUCUGCAUUUUGACAGGUGCCUUUAACUAGAUAUUAUAACAGCUUUCUUUAGUUGCUGUGUAGUGAGGAGUCUCUAAUCUUUCUUUAGAGAAAGCAGCUGAUGGAGGGGAGUGAUGAGGAGAGAGACAUGUUGAAAUAGAAAGAAAAGAUUACCUGACUGUCAUAUGACUUCACAGGCAACAGUCAAGUGAUUCAAUUUUGAAACCAGUAUCUCCUCUGAGACCCAAACCACGGAGUGCUUUAUAAUAUCUGCACACAGAUCCUGACAGGCUGCUGAAAAUGUCUCCAUUUCAUUUGAGCCUCAUGACAUGCUACUUAAACUUGCAAAAAGAUCCUUACUUAUUCAAAUAUUAUGAUGGACAGGAAUGGGGUUACAGUGACCGAACAGGAGAAAGGACUUCUGAAGUUGAGAUGCAGCAACAGAGAAGUGUGAGAUGGAACAGAAGCUAUUGGUAAUAGCAGAAAAAGAUAUGGAGCACCAUAAAGCUAUAGAGCAUGGAAAUACAGAGUUAUAGAAC
RNAcentral lists this long non-coding RNA (983 nucleotides) under Anser brachyrhynchus (Pink-footed goose). Its description in RNAcentral is "lncRNA (ENSABRG00000013341.1)". Lineage: Eukaryota; Metazoa; Chordata; Aves; Anseriformes; Anatidae. The record is from RNAcentral.